UUGGGUCAACGGUAGCUAAUUAUAAACAGUUGUAUUAUAUAUUGCAUUACACCCGUGGUAAUUCAUUUCACGGAAAAGCUACUAAAAUAACUCAGUUUUCGGAAGAGUUUGCUAUAAACCUUUGUUUGACAUUCCGCUAGUGUAUUGUAUCGAUAUAAAAUAGAAACAAUUUCGUGUAUCUAUAUUUAAACAUAGUUUAUAAAAAAGUAUCAUAAUAUUAUGAAGAAGGACUUUUGCCUAAUUAACGAAUAAUAAUACAUGUACGCUAAAGGGCUCGUUUCCUGGGUCAAACUCACCAAUACUAAGUUUCUAUGUGUGGCCACAAAAAACGUUCCUCGAACGGAAAUCGAAGCCGGGACCUCUUGGUCGGGAGAGGCGGACACUCUACCUCUGAUUCAUCCCGACUGAUAUUUUUUGAAGCUAAAGCUUGAGGAAAGAUCGUAAACAAGAAAGAGAAGUGGCCAUGGCCUCCAUACAAGGGCGAUGCUCAGCAACCGGCAAGCCUGUUGUUGAAGAAUCUAACUAUCCGGUACAGGAGGAAUGCGACAAUAAGUGUGAAAACGAUGGGAUCAUCAUAGGUAAACAUUUUCCAUGUUUACACCUGUUCUGCAGACUGUGUCGUGCUGAUCCACUGCUGACAAAGCGUUGUCAAGUUUGUAACGACGAAGUGAAAGACUAUCAAGCACUUGAUCUUACUCCACCAAAGCUCUUGAAUGGCAUAGAAAGUGUAAAAAAAUGUCCGUUUUGUAGAGUAAACGAUUUUAGAGUGUGUAACUGGCCUUGUGGUCACUGUGUUUGUGGCAUAUGUGCCAAUAACAAUUUUGUGUGUAUAAUUUGUGAAAAGACUGUUAGAUUCCAAUAUAUGGUUGAUGUAAACAUUUAUUUUGGAAAUGGCGAACAAUUUGGAGAUAAGUUUAAUCUUACAUGUAAUUCGGAUAUGUUUGACCGCCAAACAGGGCGUAUGAAAUGCUCACAAUGUCAAAAGUUUCCAGUUCGAAUAGUGUAUAGAAAUUGUGGUCACUGCGUGUGUACAGGAUGCUCAGUUGAUAAAAUUGGUCGUUUUUGCGGAAUUUGCAAAAGCCCCGUAGUGCAGUUGUGGCCCAAAGAAAUAUGUUUGAAUCCAAUGAUUUUUAAUUAAAAAGUAGCAACAACCCAAGGCUGGUAUUCAUAAAACAUCUCGUUAUUUCUUAAUAUAAAAGGAUUUCAUAAAACUUUCAUAGUCAGUAAUAGCCAUUGUAAAGAAAAAAAACAACAAACGUUUUUAACAUAAAAGUAUGUAUUGUACAUACAAUUAAUUAAAAAAAAUAAUAUUUUAUUUAUUAUUAAUUUUCAUAUCACGUGACCAAUGACAUACUUAACUUGGGAAUAUAGUAUGCAAAUGACUACGUAUGUUUUAUAAAUAUUGGCCCAGUGAAACAAGUGUAAAAGUAUUAAAUAUCUUGUGGUAUUCAUUUGCAGAAAUAGUAACUGCAGAUGUAGACUCUGUCUCUAUCUCCAAGAUAAAUUUACCUGAACUUGUAUCUAGAUGUUGAAUUCAACGUCAGCGUACAGUGUCCCUUAGUUUGAUAACAAUAAGCAUAGUUAGUCAACACAAAACAUUUUAGUCAGUAACAAAUGAUAAUAGCACAAACCAUUAUUAAAUAUGUACUUUCUACGUAUUUUAAUAUUAAGCAAAUAUGUGGAAAUAUACCCUAUGCUUGAGAACAUUUUGAACUACAAUCAUUCCCUUUGAGUGGCUGGUAACCCGUGGCCAUUUGAUGACAGCUAUGGGUAUAGGUCAAUGGAUAAAAUUAUUAAUUCACGGUCGACCGUGGUAUAUAUUUGUCCAUGACAUCAUUUUAAAAAGAAUUGAUGUAGAUCUAUGCCAUUUGUUCUUCCAUGUUUCUUGUUUAAGAGUUUUGUUUUUGUGUUCUAUGUUUUUGGUGUUUACCCAGUGCCAUUAAACCGGGUUUAUGUUUAAACAUUUUGCUACUGAGCUUGUUUAUGUAGUUUUUUACAUAACUAUGAAUCUUCAGUCACUUCAGUGGUAGAUUGCCCUUGACCGGUUGAUUGCACCCAUUGCUGUUGGAGUCAGAUUUUUUAAAAGUCAGCAAGUUGUGUCUGCAACGUUUUGUCUGCACAUUAAAUUGCGCUUUGACCCCUAUAAUUAUAGGGCUUGUAGGUCAAAUGUCAAUGUCACAUUUAAGACUGUUAAGAACAUUUUCCCGCAUAAUUACACACUCGAAAACAGCUAGACCUAGGACCAUGUAACAUCGGUGAUAGCUUGUUUUGACUUAUAAAUUUAAAUAACCUCUAUUGUCUUCGGCAUCAGUAGAAAUAAAGGUUAAUGUUACAUAAACUGUCAUUUAAACUCUACGUUUAACAUUUAAUACAGCCUGGCAACUGCAUAUUACAAAACGUUACGUUCAACAAAAACGUUAGAUAUUGAAAACAUAUAUGUCAAACCAAUGAAAUCGAUUAUUAAGAUUCAAUACGUAGAACCCUUAAUCUUUAACAGCAUAACAGACAUAAAGUCAAAAUUUCAUUCUUCAUGUAAAGAAGUAUAUAUUCUAAGGAAUCAUCUUAUCAACUAACGUACGGCGCAAUAUCGUAAGAUCUUGAUUUUCAACAUCGAGUAAUUGACAUAAUUAAAUAGAACCUGCACAAUAUAACACAUAUUGCCUAGACUAUCAGCAUUUUAUAUUAUAAAUACUCAGAAAGAUCAAUUGUUCAACACGACCGUUGAAAAUAUGCGUGUCCGGUUAGCGCAGUGGAUAGCGUACUUGCUUCUCGCAAAGGUGACCUGGGUUCUGGGUUCGCCCGGGUGGAUAAGAGUUUGGUUGGUAGUCUCAAGUGGGUUUUCGCCGGGCUCUCAGUGUCCCCCACAACACAAAACCGCACUUUCAUGCAGCAUCGUGCCAAAGAGAGUGACCUAGUGUCUAGGGGAUAUUAUGAUAGGUACCUUGUGUAACUAUGACUGUACAAAAAUAGUUAUAGCCUGUUUCACAUUAUGUAAUGAGUAAUAAGAUGUAAUGGAACAUCUCCCUUCUUUCGAAAUAAAGAAAAUGAUAUCAAUUAAAAUUCAGUUAAGUCUGAACUCUUACACUAAAAAUAUUUAAUUAAUCUAAACGUGACACAAACAAUACAUGUAUGGAUCGAAAUCAUUGCAUGUCAUGAGAACCGUUCAUAAAUGAAAUGUGCAACAAAACAAAAUCAUAGAAAAAUUAAGAUAAAACUGUACACAUAAACACUUCUUAGUGUCACAUUGGCCACUGAAAGUUAUGAAGUUGGCUAUAUCAGAUUACAACAACAAUGUUGAAUGUCACACACUUAAUUAAAUGAACUGCUGUAAGCAAGAGUGUUUAUAAGUCAUUUAAUUAACCCAUUCAUUCCCAGUGAUAAGAGUAUUGGGUCGCACCAUUCUGCCAGCUCUAGUUACAUUACUUUGUUGAUCAUUUAACUGUUUUUUGGAGGACGCUGUUUCGGCAGCUUUGUCAUAACUAGGUUGAUGGGCAGAAUUUAAUGGAUGUGGUUUCUGGGCUUAGAUAUGAUUUCUAGAGUCUGCAAUGACUUUUGGGCUAAAUUCCUCUAUAUGUGGGAAUUUGUAUGAUUUAGUAAUUGCCUAUUUCGACGGUAAAGGUCACCAUCUUCAGUUUCAACAAUGUAUGACUUGUCAUUGUGUUUUGAAAUAACUUGCGCAGGAUUCCAGAUUUUUGCUGUUUGAAGUCUUAUAUCUUCCCUUCUCUUUAAAGGUUUUAAGUGUUUAGAUGACCUAUCAUAAAAUGUUUUUUGUUUUUUUGACUUUGUGCUGCUUAUUUUGUUUUGGACAAAUUUGGUACUGACGGUCUGUGGCUGCAACUGUUUUCUUGUAACUGGUAAUAUGGAAUUUUUUCUCCUGCACAUUCACAAUUGUACUGGUGAAUAUCUUAAGUCUUGCAAAGGUGUGCUUCUAUAUUCAAGAACUGCUAUGUAAGGGUUGUCUUAAGGUCUUUGGCCUUCUAUAUAGUAUUUUGACUGACUUAACCAUAACCUCUGCUAGACCAUCUGAUUGGGGUCUUAACGGUUAAGAAGUCACGUGUUCGAGACUGCAGUCCCUUGCAAAAUCUUUGAAUACGUCUGAUGCUUAUUGCUAGCAAAAUGUAUUUUCAACUUUGCUAUUAUCGUCUAACCGCGUGUUUCCGGUAAUUUGUUUUCUUUAAAAUUUAUAAUCAACACUCAACAAGUAUUCGUGUCCAUCAAAAUAAUAUAAGUCUCUGUAUGCAUAUUGCCAUGGCCAUGUUGGCGUUUCAUGGGGCACUGAAGGUUUUUUGACAUUUAUGCUCUGUGUUUCAGACAAACAGGACAGUUCAGUAAAUAGCCAGUCAUUUCUUUUACCAUUCCAGGCCAGAAGAAUGCAUCGCUUGCCCUACUGACUGAUUUAUCUACACCCAUGUGGCCUACAUGGACCUUUGCCAUAUGUUCCGUGCGUGAAUGCUUUGGAAUAAAUAUUAUCUGCCCUCUAAAUAUCAAACCAUCCUCAGUUCAUCCCAAUGAUUAAUCAAUUCAAUUUAGGGCCAACCGGUUUCUAUAGUCCGUUUUAUGGUUUUAAUGUGAAACACGGUUUAUCCCCAGUAUAUUCAAAUUUUACUGACUGUUCCAAGGCGUCACCUAACAAUCCUUGAUAAACACACCUAGUUAUUGUAUAUAGUAUAUAUGUACUGUGUUGUUUGUAGAGUUUUGCGCUGUUGCUCCAUGUUUCUGGUUUGUGAUUGUUUGUUUUUGUGUUCGUCUCUGGCGUUUACCCUGUGCCAUUAAACGGGGUUUGUGUUUAAACUUCCGCCUACGGAACUUGUUUCUGUAGUUUUUCAUAUAGAUAUUGUAACAAUCCCUAACUGCUCAAGUCGUCUGAGUGUAAAUGUCAAACCUUGCAACAUUGUGUAAAUAUGCCAAUCUAACCCUUCCAUUGCAGCUAGCUGAUUGUUCAUUGGCUGUCGAGAAAGCAAGUUACCCAUAGGUACUUGUUUUCCAUGUACAUAUUUGACCUCAAUGUCAUAUUUUUGAACCCUGAGCAACAUUAUCUGUAUACCCGUAUACGAGGAGUUGCUGCAGACAAAGGUUUUUUUCAUGAUUGCUGCAAUGGAUCAUAAACUAUGACCUUUUGUCCAUAAACAUACCGAUGAAACAUUAGGCAACCAAAUACUAUUUCGGGCAUCUCUCGCUCAAUAUUUGCAUAUGCACUUUAUGUCUGAGUCAAAAGCAAUAGGGAUCUUGCAAAAUGGCUGUAUCAACACCAUAUUUGCUGGCUUCACAUUCCAGGAUAACUUGUUUCUUAUUGUCAAAGUAUGCAAGUACAGGGUUUUUUGACACCACGACUUUUAUUUUGUUGAAAGCGUCAAUUCGUGGCUAGUCAAAUAAGAACUAUGUAUAUUUUUAGCAACUUGUGCAAAGGACUUUUAACAUCGGCUAAAUUUGGUGAGAACAUCUGUAAGUAGUUCACCAUCCCAAGAACAGUUUCUAGCUCUGCUCUAUUUUGAGGAAUUUAUAGUGACGAAAUUGCUUUGACCUAUUCACUGUCAAUUCAAUUUAUAACCCUUGUUCAGUGAUUAUAUGACCAAAGAAACUUACCCCUUGUACGUCAAUCUUGAGCUUUUCACGAUCGAACCGUACGCCUAUUUGACGUGCUCUAUCAAGAACAGCAAAUAAGUUUCUGUUGUGUUCAAGCUUUGUUCUCCCCAGGCAAGAAUAUCGUCAACGACACAUGCCUUUGAAUUUGUUAUCUAUUGUCCGUUGCCUCACAUCUGAGCUCAGGCCAAAUGGCGUUCGUUCUGAAUGUCGUAAGAUUUGACGACUGCUUAUCUAAAUUGAUAGACCUGUAUGCAUGUGUAACGUCGAGAACACUUAAAUGGUGUGCACCGUUAAACCUACUGGUGACGUCAUCAAGUGUACGCAUAGGGCAAUGGGGCCGUUUGAUAACUUGCCAGUUGUUGACUCCUCAACUAAGCAACUCACCCAAUCAGUCGGCGUGUCUUUAACCUUAGUCACAAUGCCCUCCCUUUCCGUACGGUCCAGUUCGUCCUGCAGUCUAGUCUUAAGAUCUUCUUGGACACGUCUAGGAGGUUAACCCUAGGCAAUGCAUCAAGUUUCAGAUAUAGUUUGCAUUAACCAGGCAUGGUGCCUAUACCUUUGAAAAGGUCACCAUAGUCAUUUAGGACUGUUCGCUUGUCAAGGUCAUCCUCCACAACAGAAAAUGUCAGUGAGACAAGUCCAAUGACUGUGCAUGAAUUUAGACCUAAAAAUGGGGACGCGGGGCUGUCUACAACACGCAACUCGGGGUGAAUUACUUUUGACUUUUAGCGGCAUGCUUAUUUGAGUUAACACACUACUGGUAAUGUAUUGCCAGUGUAGCUUGUGAGAGUAUACACAGGUGCUUGCAAUUUAUGUGAAAUACCAAGUUUCCUGAACUGUCAGUGAAAGAACCUUUACUGUAGAACCUGUAUCGAUUUUAAAUUGGAUGUUCAAAUUUAAUGGACCAAUUUUAAUAUUAACAAAGGUAUGAUCUUGCAAAGUGGUAUUUACCGCAUCAACAUAAUACUUGUCACUUUCAUCUGAGCCGUCCUGUUCUGCCGUGGAAACGUUGUACACGGGAUUCGAUUUGCCGACACUUGAACGACAACACUUGGCAAAGUGGUUAUUUAUUUUUUGCAUGAGUGACACAUUUUGCCGAGCGCCGUGCAUUUGUCCUUUUUUCUGUCGUGCUUCCCGCCAGAGUUUGUACACGUUCGUGCUUGUGAUGUCACUUUGUCAAGUACAAGUUGUUGUUGCUGUUCCUUGUCUUGCUCGAUUCAUUAUAUGUUCUAUUUGUUACAAGAUUAAUGUUCUGGCUUUGGGGCUCAAUCGUCCGCAUCUGCUGUUUGUUGUAUUCCACAGACUGAUGCAGUUUGAAUAGUCUUGUCAAGGGUAAGUUGUUUUCCGUCAAUGAUCAAUUUCUCACGUAUUUUGGAUGAAUUGCUGCCUAACACCACUCCUUCUCUGAUCAUCUCAUCAAUUUCUUUGAAUUCGUAUUCCCUGGCUAUCACAAUAGCCGCGUUAUAACUUGAUCCACAGUGUCAUGUUCUUGUACCUGGUUGUAAAUUUUGUAUUUGGGUUGUACAUCGCAAACUUGUCCUCUGUCGACUAAGGCCAUAUUGCAUGAAUAUCCCUGCCGAUUUCUCCAACUUAUAUAGGUAGAUAACUGAUUCUUCAGGUUUCCCUUAUAAGGGUCUUGUAAAUUUAAAAUGUACAUGUCUUGCGAAUUGCUCCCAUUCGUCAGCUGAGUUUCUUUCAUCCCAUCGCAUGAUCGGAGGUGCGAUUCCCGCCAAUUCUUUACUCAUACAGAUGUAUACUUCCAGACAAAAUCACAAUUGUCAUAAAGUUUUCUUCUAACACCAUAUAAUGAUGACUGUGAGGUCGUAGUCAAGUGACUAUUAGAUAAAAACGUGUGAGGUUAUUUCAUAUAGAAAUACUAGCUAUGUUAUGCAACUUUUUCAAAAUUGGACUGCAUGCUCAGACCAUGCGAGCCGAUAUAUACAAUAAUAGUUAUAGUCUGUUCCAUAUUUUGUUAUGAGUGUUAAGACAAAAUGGAACACCAUGUAUCACGUCUUAUUUGGUGUGCAAACACGAAUCCGUCACUACCGCGCGUCCAAAAAAGCGUCAUAUCGUAGUAUUCCAUUUUUUAUAUACUUUUUUAUUUAUUUCUUUAUAUUUUUCCCAUUUCAGUAUGACUAUAAUUUAUCGCUAUCUUUCAAAUUUAUUUAUAUAGAAUAACUGGAAAGUAUAACUAUGCUACGUACUUUUUUGUAUUGAAGUCAAGGGUGGCUACUCAAGCAAAACAGGUUAGCAGUUACAGACUUCCCUUUAUUGAGCAAAAUAACAAAAACAUUGUUUUAUAUCUCAGCAAAUAAUUAAAUUGCUAAUAAAAACCAAUAAUUAAAUGUCAAAGCGCGGAAAUAAAAUCCCCAUGACAAUCGGCAUGAACCGGCAUACAUCCGAGGUUGUAUUUGAUGGAAAAUGCCGAAUGAAACCAUAAACGGUACUAUUUAUUACACGUAUAAACAAACCGUCUUUUCUAGUUCAUACGUAACGCGACAAUUUUAAAAACAUGGUCGAAAGUGAAUGUUUUUAGGAUUUUUCAAUAUGUUUGCAGAAAUGAGGGAAGUCCGUUAGUCAAUCGCUAUCACUUUCGAUAAUGCGAAUUCGCCUUUUUUGUUAUGUUGAGCUGUUCAUGUUGAUAUAAAUGUUAAAUUUCAUCAUCUUCGAAUUGGUAACCAAUUAUCUAGAUUAUAGAAUGAUCGAAAGUGUUUUCAGCUAAGAAAAUGUUCCUCUCGCUCAUUCCCAUGUCUCUUUCAAUUUCAUGUUCCUGGAUAUUUACCUGCAAUCUGUGGUGUUAGUAACGAGAAAGUAGGUCCUUGACCUCACCCGAACUAGCAUGAUACGGUAUAAGAAAAAGACAGCAAGUGAUACCGAUUUUUCGAUGCGGAUUGCUGUAAUUUUGCUAAUGAAUUUGGAAAAGAAAAGUAAUUGUACAUAAAACACGUUAAUAUAACUUUUUUUAAAGUUGUUAUGAAAUAAAUAAAAUAAUAAAAAAUGGUCACAAAGUUAAUCAGAACAUUAAAUGUAAAAUUUAAAUGAAAAUGGAAGGUUUGCUUCGCUCUCCCGCUCUUCCUAUCUUCUUUAUUCCAGAUUAUAUCUGUAUUAUAUAUUCAUUUUUUUUAAACUUUACCUGUAGUUUUAAUCAAAAUCAGGAAUCAAAUUUAAAAUGUUAUGUGAUAAAUUUGUUAUCGAUGCACGUAUUGUUAUUUUUUUGAUGUUACGUUGUACUUAAAUGUUUUUUAAAUGUACAAGGUUUAAUUUCGCAAUCUGCAACUAAGAAAAAUAGGUUGUUUAAUAUAAUGUAUAUUUUUUCGCCCAUGUGUGUUCAGUUAAGCAAUAAAUUGCGUUAUUGAUGUCAUUAUCUGGGUAUGAUCGCAGUUGGGCUGGAAAAAGUGUGUGAAGUCCAACAGUUCAUUAUUUCUUUCCAAAAUAGUUAAUAUUAUACGUAAUUUCAUUGAAGAAAACCUUAGAGUAAUUAUUUCCCACCAUGCUGUAAAUCAAACGGCCCGACCGGUUUAUACAUUUUACCGCUUCGAUAAAAAAAGACCCAAAAUACAGAUAUUUAUAACGUAAAACUGAAUCGCAAAAAAACAAUACAUUUUACAAAUAAUAAAUUAACACUUUUCAACAUGUUGAUUCCAAAUUUUCGUGGGCUGCUAAACAAAUGCAAACAAUAGUACGUUAGUCAUAUUAUACGCGAUGUUUCGCGAUCCGAUAUAAUUUAAGUGAUUGUAGAUAUACUGUUCCAACUCAGAUUGAAUAACAUGCGUUCUUUAUGAGUAUAUGAUUUUUUUUCUUUCAAAAAUGUAUUCAUCAUUAAAUGAUUAGGAAAAAAGUUUAAUGUUAAAACAUGCAAUUCGUCUUUAAUAUCUGCAAACUGUUGAAAUACUUAUCUUUCUUUUGAGCCCUGUUUUGCUAGGAGUGUAUUUGUUCUGUUUAUGUAAACAUAUGCAUCUUGGGAGUGUAACCAUUCUGUCUAUUUAAACAUGUGCUCGUUGGAAGUAUUUGUUCUGUUUAGUUAAACAUAUACAUCUUAGGAGUUUAACUAUUCUGUUUAUUUUAACAUGUGCUCUUUAGAAGUCUAUUUGUUCUGUUUAUGUAAACAAAUGCAUCUUAGGAGUAUAACCAUUCUGUUUAUUUAAUCAUGUACACGUAGGAAUCUAUUUGUUCUGUUUAUGUGAGCAAAGGCAUCUUGGGAGUAUAACCAUUCUGUUUAUUUUAACAUGUGCUGGUAGGAAGUCUAUUUGUUCUGUUUAUGUAAACAUAUGCAUCUUAGGAGUAUAACCAUUCUGUUUAUUUAAACAUGUACACGUUGGGAGUCUAAUUGUUCUGUCAAUGUAAACCAACUUGUUGGGAGAAGAGCCAUUUUGUUCUUUAAGCAUGUGCACGUUUGGAGUAUAUUUGUUCUGUUUAUGUAAACAUAUGCAUGUUAGGAGUAUAACCAUUCUGUUUAUUUAAUCAUGUACAUGUAGGGAAUCUAUUUGUUCUGUUUAGGUAAACAUGCAUGUUAGGAGUAUAACUAUUGUGUUUAUUUUUAACAUAUGCAUGUUAGGAGUCUAAUUGUUCUGUUUAUGUACAUAUAUGGAUAUUGGGAGUAUAAACUUUCUGUUUAUUUAAACAUGAGCACGUAGGGAGUCUUAUUGUUCUGUUUAUGUAAACAUAUGGAUCUUGGGAGUAUAACCUUUCUGUUUAUUUUAACAUGAGCACGUUGGGAGUCUAAUUGUUCUGUUUAUAUAAACAUACGGAUCUUGGGAGUAUAACCUUUCUGUUUAUUUUAACAUGAGCACGUAGGGAGUCUAAUUGUUCUGUUUAUGUAAACAUAUGGAUCUUGGGAGUAUAACCUUUCUGUUUAUUUAAUCAUGUACACGAAGGGAAUCUAAUUGUUCUGUUUAUGUAAACAUAUGCAUCUUGGGAGUAUAACCUUUCUGUUUAUUUUAACUUGAGCACGUUGGGAGUCUAACUGUUCUGUUUAUGUAGACAUAUGCAUGUUAGGAGUAUAACCAUUCUGUUUAUUUAAUCAUGUGCACGUUGGAAGCCUAAUCAAUCUGUUUAUUGAAGCAUAUGCAUAUUUAAACAUAUGUAUGUCGUGAGUCUAUUAGUUCUGCUUAUUCAAAAAUAAGCAUGUUGGGAUUGCGUUCUGUUUCAUUUAAACAUAUGCUUGAAACUAAUAAAGAUUUAAUUUAA
Long non-coding RNA from Mya arenaria, 10770 nucleotides. RefSeq lists it as uncharacterized. The record is from RefSeq and is a predicted model, not a curated record. The transcript is spliced from 5 exons. NCBI's taxonomy places the organism in Eukaryota, Metazoa, Mollusca, Bivalvia, Myida, Myidae.